RNAcentral lists this ribosomal RNA (639 nucleotides) under uncultured Actinomycetes bacterium. RNAcentral's name for it is "bacterial SSU rRNA". It matches the Rfam family "Bacterial small subunit ribosomal RNA", at positions 861 to 1500 of the family's 1533-position model. Lineage: Bacteria; Bacillati; Actinomycetota; Actinomycetes. The record is from RNAcentral.
UAAGUGCCCCGCCUGGGGAGUACGGCCGCAAGGCUAAAACUCAAAGGAAUUGACGGGGGCCCGCACAAGCGGCGGAGCAUGUUGCUUAAUUCGAGGCAACGCGAAGAACCUUACCUGGGUUUGACAUGUAGGGAAAAGCCGUAGAGAUACGGUGUCCUUUUGGGCCUUACACAGGUGGUGCAUGGCGUCGUCAGCUCGUGUCGUGAGAUGUUGGGUUAAGUCCCGCAACGAGCGCAACCCUUGUCCUAUGUUGCCAGCGGGUAAUGCCGGGGACUCGUAGGAGACUGCCGGGGUCAACUCGGAGGAAGGUGGGGACGACGUCAAGUCAUCAUGCCCCUUAUAUCCAGGGCUGCAAACAUGCUACAAUGGCCGGUACAAAGGGCUGCUAUACCGCGAGGUGGAGCGAAUCCCAUAAAGCUGGUCUCAGUUCGGAUUGGAGUCUGCAACUCGACUCCAUGAAGCCGGAGUCGCUAGUAAUCCCGGAUCAGCAACGCCGGGGUGAAUACGUUCCCGGGCCUUGUACACACCGCCCGUCACACCACGAAAGUUGGCAACACCCGAAGCCAGUGGCCCAACCCCUCGGGGAGGGAGCUGUCGAAGGUGGGGUCAGCGAUUGGGGUGAAGUCGUAACAAGGUAAC